UGGAUUAGGCAUGCAAGUCGAACGAGAACCGCUGGGUAACUGGCGGGGAAAGUGGCGAAAGGGGCAGUAAGGCGUGGGUAACGUACCCCCUGGACCGGGAUAGCCACGGGAAACUGUGGGUAAUACCGGGAGACGUAGCUUGGGCGCAUGUCCGGGCUACUAAACGGUCCGCCGCCGGGGGAGCGGCUCACGUGGUAUUAGCUUGUUGGUGGGGUAACGGCCCACCAAGGCUUAGAUGCCUAGCAGGUGUGAGAGCACGACCUGCGCCACUGGCACUGAGACACUGGCCAGACACCUACGGGUGGCUGCAGUCGAGGAUCUUCGGCAAUGGGCGCAAGCCUGACCGAGCGACGCCGCGUGCGCGAUGAAGGCCUUCGGUUGUAAAGCGC
This 389-nucleotide ribosomal RNA is filed under the name uncultured organism. Its description in RNAcentral is "bacterial SSU rRNA". It matches the Rfam family "Bacterial small subunit ribosomal RNA", at positions 45 to 433 of the family's 1533-position model. The record is from RNAcentral.